This is an RNA transcript of Acinonyx jubatus (cheetah), 1982 nucleotides long. It is a transcript of the gene named ribulose-5-phosphate-3-epimerase, with no coding region annotated. NCBI's taxonomy places the organism in Eukaryota, Metazoa, Chordata, Mammalia, Carnivora, Felidae. The transcript is spliced from 9 exons. The record is from RefSeq and is a predicted model, not a curated record.
CCGAUUAUGACCUGAUGGAAUGACCAGUAGAUUUCCCAAGAGGAAUGUGAAGGAACUGGUUGCCCUCUAAACAUGGCCAGGACCACCACGGGGUCCAAGUUACCACUUUCAAUCAAUUACAAAGUGCCCAUUCCCUACCAUCUAAGGCAAGCACAAGCGCUGGAGAGGAGAGGACAGCAGCACAGGUGGAAACAAUGGAGAAGCAAAAAGUGAAGUGAGGGCAAGAGCCGAGAAGAAAAGAACCCGGGGGAUGUAAAGCAAAAAAAGAUUUAGAAACUCUUCGAGUUCGGCGAGGGCUGGGAGACCUAAAAACUACUUCAAGAAGGAAGACGGAAGGAAAGAGGCAAGGGCCUGCAGGCGAGAGGCCCCACCCCUAAGCCCUCGGGCAGACAGCCCCGCCCCCGAGGGGAGGAGGGACUUCCUCCCUGCGGGCAGCUGCUUCCGGUGGAGUCCGGAAGACGCUAUCGGGAAGGGACUAAAACUGCGCAGCCAAUCGGGGCGACACUUUCGUCUUACCGGAGGACUCGUGGGUAACUUGCUCUUGGGAACCAGUACCAUGGCGUCUGGCUGCAAGAUUGGCCCGUCCAUCCUUAACAGCGAUUUGGCCAAUUUAGGGGCUGAGUGCCUCCGGAUGCUGGACUCUGGGGCCGAUUAUUUGCACCUGGAUGCACCCUGCUCUUCAGGGAGGUCAGUUUUUUUGCAUUUUGUUCCCAACAUCACCUUUGGGCACCCUGUGGUAGAAAGCCUCCGAAAGCAGCUAGGCCAGGACCCUUUCUUUGAUAUGCACAUGAUGGUGUCCAGGCCGGAACAGUGGGUAAAACCAAUGGCUGUAGCAGGAGCCAAUCAAUAUACCUUUCAUCUUGAGGCUACUGAGAACCCUGGGGCUUUGAUAAAAGACAUUCGGGAGAAUGGGAUGAAGGUUGGCCUUGCCAUCAAACCAGGAACUACAGUUGAGUAUUUGGCACCAUGGGCGAAUCAGAUAGAUAUGGCCUUGGUUAUGACAGUGGAACCUGGGUUUGGAGGGCAGAAAUUCAUGGAAGAUAUGAUGCCAAAGGUUCAUUGGUUGAGGACCCAGUUCCCGUCCUUGGACAUAGAGGUCGAUGGUGGAGUAGGUCCUGACACUAUCCAUAAAUGUGCAGAGGCAGGAGCUAACAUGAUUGUGUCUGGCAGUGCCAUUAUGAGGAGUGAUGACCCCAGAUCUGUGAUCAACCUGUUAAGAAAUGUUUGCUCAGAAGCUGCUCAGAAACGUUCUCUUGAUCGAUGAAACCGUGAGGAGUCCAGUGUUUACGCUCAUGAAAUCUUUCUCCUGGAAAACAAGAAUAUCGACUACCAAAACAUACCACAGUUGAAGCAGGGCUGUUUCUCUGAGCAGCUGUUCAUUCCAGUGACUAAAAUCUAUCCUGCAGAAUGUUCCAAGAGGUUAGAAAUUGCAGAACCAGAUGGCUGAGGAUAUUCUGGACGUUAUGGAUUUUGACCCCAAGGAUAUAUAUUAUAUUAAUCCAACAAAGACCAGGUAGGCUAAAAGAUGAUAAGGUAGAGUUAAUCCAUAAAUAUUUAAAGUUGUGUCCCAAAUUAUACUUUGACAACAAAUAUGUAUCUGCCACUUGCAAAUAGUCUUGAUAUAUGGCAAGAAAUAACAGGACCUAAACUUCAGGCUACUAUGAGUUUUGAGAAAUAAAAAGUUUGAAAAAUAAGAACAUUAACACUUCUGCAUAGAAUAGAGCUUGCUUGUUUUUUUCCUAUACUACAGUGUAAAAAUUUGUUUUUGACUUAGGAAAGGUUUGUGCCAUGAACAGGUGCCGUUUAAUCAAAUCAGACAACACGAGGCAUAUAGAAAUAACUUUAAUUAAAAAACUUACAUAGAAGAUUAUAAUGUCAGACAUGACAAAAAGAUUUGAGCUUAUUUGCCUAGACAACUUGGGUUUGUCUGGCUUUUGUUUUCUUUUUUAAAAAUAAAUGUACAGUAAAACUACAAGCAAAAA